GAAAAUCGUUGUGAAUUCUUUCCACCAUUGCUGCACAAAGAAAAUGGUCCAAGCCAAUAAAAUACAUGUGGUCCAGUCACGACCCAAAAAAAAAAAAAAAAUCAUAAAAUCAACAUAGCAACUUAAGAGAGAAAGAAAAAAGAAGGGGCUCAACUUAGGAAACUCAAUAGCCGAAUAAUAAGAUGAUUAAAAAAAAUAAUAAAAAACAAAAAUGGUGCAAGUGUUAUAGAAUAGGAAGCAAAUUUGUGUAUAUUCCUAUAUUGGUUAGCAAAUUUUAGGGAUUGAUUCUUUUCCUAUUUAGGGAUUUGAGUUGUAUAAAUAUAUGUGUAUUAUGAAUGAAUGAAUAAAAAUUAAGGAUUUUUAAUUCAAAAUUAACAUGUUUCAAUAGAGUAGUAAUAGCAAGUCAUUAUUAUUAUGAAAGAUUUUGAGAAUUUCAUUAUAGGUUGUGAAUUGCAGAAUAUUUUCUUAUCUUUUGUGCAAUUUACUUGUUCUAUUUUAUUUGCUAAUAACUGGGAAAUGUCCCAUCACUGGAAGUCCUUUCUAGAACUACUUUUGACCAUUUCGCUUGUAUUUGGAGUCUAAACAAAUAAAAUGUGAUAUACUGCUUUAGAUUUUAGAAUGUGGCUCUCUCAUCAUUCAUUUGGUAUUCAAGAAAUCCUAGAAGUAUAAUUUCCUAUAUCAUAUAUUUUGUUAUGUGCUAAAGGGGCAGUGAAUCUCAUUUUUCAACUCUCUUCAUUGCACUACUUCUUGAAUAUUUGGAAUAGGCUUUUUGGUACUUUUUGAGGAAGUUGGGAAUAUCCGGAGACUUUAUAUGAUUUUCUAAAAAAUGAAGAAUUAUAACUUUUAAGGAAAAGGAAAUAGGCAUACUGAUUAUGGUAUUAUGCUGUAUUGAGAGUAAUGUGGAGAAAAUUGGUCAAAUUCUUAAGAAUUAGUCUUUUGCCUUAGUCAGUUUCUGCUUUAUGGGGUUUAAAAGUAAUGUUUUUAGGAAAUAAUCAAAAUGAUUGGAGGAUGUUACUUUUCCCCCCUAGUUGAUAUGAACUUGUUAUCUUUUGGAUGUUGAGUUGUUCUUAUUUAAAUGUUGUGAUCAAUCAUGUGACUCACAUUUAACCAUGUAGAGUGGGCCUUUUAGAGAAGUUUGUUACAAUAAGAUAACAUGAAAAAGUGAAACAAUUUUUUUCAGCUUAUUUAGAUUGGUGCAUAACAUGAAGAAGUUUGGAUAUGUUAUUUGUGAAUUGUCAUUAGAUCAUGAUUUUCCUCUUGCAAGUGUGGUGCAUAAGGUUUUGCUUUUUUGUGUGUGCAUGCGUGCUGCUUUUAGGUUUUAUUUUCCAUUGGUAUGUUGGAAUUGCCUUUAUUGUCCAUUGUUGUUUUUUUCAUGAUGGUGAUUCUAUGGUUGCUUCAAUCAGGAUGUUUCUGUGCUUGCCAACGUGGACCUUGUUUUGUACAAUCAAACUUUUUCCUCAGCAAAGUUCUCUUACAACUUGGACCGAAUGUCUUUUCACUUCACAAGUUUCUUCAUGUUUUAAUUGCAGGAUUUUAAGUUCAUUAUAUUCAGAAGUUGUGAAAUAAUAUUUUCCCAUCGAAUUCAUUUAGGAUUUCAAAUAAUACACAAACUUUAUAUAUUUAUACACAUAAUUUCCCAUUAGUCACAGUCAGCAAUCUGAGCCAUAAACUGAGAUGAUAAUGAAUAGCUUUCUCUGCAGAAUUGGAUAAUAAGUAUGAACCAAAAAAUUUAAUAUUUAGUGUUGAAAUACGAUUUUGGGCAUCAUUUUCUUUAAAAGCAAAAUAUUUGUCGUAGGUUAUUCUUCGGUGGGGAUUACAAAGAGGAACAAGUGUCCUACCUUGCAGCCUCAAGCCUGAUCGGAUAAGAAAAAAUAUAGAUAUAUUCACUUGGUCUCUAUCAGAUGGAGAGUGGAAUCGCUUGAACCAGAUUGAACCACAGGUAUGUUUAUUUGGAAACGGUCUUUUAAAUAAUCUGUCAGACAGUGGCUUCAUGUUUGGUAGUGGCCCCCUUCAAGUUGUGCGUGAGAUGGAGGAUGAUGUGGAAUCCAAUGCCUGAUAUAUAAUAGUACCUCCUUUAGAUAGUGUGCUCCAUUUUAUGUUAAAAGAUGCCAUGAUUGUUAUAAUUACCCAUUGUUUGUGAGAUUUAGUUUUUGUGGAUGCUGAAUAGGAAAUCAAAGGAGACAUUAUUACUGAUUGAAGAGGAAAUCUUUUUCUUUGUGACUGUAAGUGUUUUAUAUAUCUUUCUGCAAUGAUUUGCUUGGAUGCAAUGUCAAGAAGAUAUAAUAAAAUAAGUGUUUACCUUUCAAGCAAAUUGUUGUUUCUUAUAAAACCAUAAUUUGAAGUGUGAACAAUAAGCAAUUGUAUUUUGACUGUUUCAUUUAAUUUAAAAUGUAUAUAUUCUAAUGCAAGUGUGGAA
RNAcentral lists this unclassified non-coding RNA (2416 nucleotides) under Hevea brasiliensis (rubber tree). Lineage: Eukaryota; Viridiplantae; Streptophyta; Magnoliopsida; Malpighiales; Euphorbiaceae. The record is from RNAcentral.